UAUUACUGCUAAUGUUAUCGGUAUCGGCUAAAUUGUAGUCACUCAUAAUCAUGAUUAUAAUGCACUUUAUUAAUAUUGUACUAUUCUUAUCAAUGUUCCAAAAUGCUUAACAAGAAGAAAGAAAGGCUAAAAAGCAGACAAGGACAUGGCCACAUAAGAAAUUAAAAUAGGAAAAAUGAAUAAAAUCCAAAUCCAAAUUUAUAUUUAAAAAAAAAAGUCUAUGUAAAUGCUAAUCAGACAUUCCCAAAAGUUUUCAUGACGAGAAAGUGUGUGGGCUCAAAUAGCCAAAGCUCCAUCACGCUUUGACAAAAACUGCAGCCUGGGUGUAACCAGCAGGCUUCACCGGCUCUCCUCAAAGCAGAAGUGGUCUCAACGUUGACAUUUGUCGGCUGUAGGAAGAAUCACGUGAUGGACCCGACUACAUUUUAAAGCUCACACGACACAAAGAUCCCGAUGAGCCUGACAACCGAUUGAAAAAAUGAUAAUGGAACAAAUGCAGGUUUCUAGUCGUAGGUGAGGAGAUUACAGGUUAUUGAGCAUCGGUUGGUGCACAAGGCUCCAUCUUGUCUUCACAGACGGUGGAGCGGCCUACGCCCAUGUGUGGUCAAACCAGUAUACAGGGAGAACCCAUUAACUCUGGUUCAACCUGUUUACUUGUGAGUCAGACGGUUCAUUUUUCCACCCAGAUUUUUUCCCUCUGGGAUUAACAAAAAACAAUGCAGAGGAAACUUUGUGCGGCUGAUGUCGCUCGUGUCAUGCAUAGAAUAGAGUAGAAUAGAAACUUUAUUUUCCACCAGAGUGGAAAAUUGUCUUUCGCUCAUCAGUAAACGCACAGAGGCCUGAACAUAGGCCUGAAGACUGACAGUCGUACAACACAAACAGCAAUGACAGACGGGGGUUGGCAGGAAAGCACUUUAAAGGCAACAUAAAAGCCACAUAGAAACAACAUAAAAGCCACAUAAAACGACAUAGGAGUGACAUAAAAGCAAAAUAAGAAGAGUUUCAUUUCUGCGGAUAAGCAGUAUAAUAAUGACACUAUUGACACUAGGAAUAAAAGAUUAUUUGAAGACGUUUUUAGUGGCCAGUGGGAAUCUAUAGCGCCUCCCGGAGCCCAAGGCCUCAAACUGGCUGAAGAGAGGAUGGUCGCCAUCUGCCAAGAUGUCACGCCAGAGUGCCGAAGUGAGAGUCUGCCCCCUGCUGCGCCGAGAAAUUGAAACGACAUGACUUGAAAUGUCAGUGGCGAUGGCUAUACUGUGGUACAAGACAAAAUAAAUCCAAAUAUACAAUAUAGGACCAUGAGGAUACACAUUCUCGUAAACAUCAGUGGUACAAACAAAAACAAAAAAGAAUGAAAGAAAACAUAACUCAAACGGAGGCAUGGUAUGUAGAAAAGAUACAAAAUACACAUGCCGGGGCCGGGGGAGCGAAACAAGGCAUCAGUGUUUCAGCAAAAAGAAAAAGAAAAUCCCCAUUUCCUAUCAUCACACAUCAGGGCCAUGAAAACAUCACCCACAAGCAAACGCUGACCCGAGGAGUCAUCUUCACAGAAUGAACGAUUCAUCGAUACAUCAAUCAGUUAGCCAAUUUACUGAAGUGCAGAAUCCAUAUCCCAGGAAGUUGGCAUUGGACGGAUGGUGAUGACGGCAGUCGAGGACAGGGUGGGUCGUUUAAGGUCUCGGCAGUGAGGGAAAGUACCCACUCCUUUCCCAUUUUGAGGGCAUGAAGAUUUCACCUCCUAACUCAUCGCUCAUCUAUCCAGGCCUAAUCAUCACCGUGUCACGUGUUAUUUCAAUGGACAGAAGUUUGUGGCUUGAGAAAAAAUUAAAAAUAAAAACAGAUGGUAAAA
This is a long non-coding RNA of Scophthalmus maximus (turbot), 1846 nucleotides long. RefSeq lists it as uncharacterized. The record is from RefSeq and is a predicted model, not a curated record. NCBI's taxonomy places the organism in Eukaryota, Metazoa, Chordata, Actinopteri, Pleuronectiformes, Scophthalmidae. The transcript is spliced from 3 exons.